AACGAACGCUGGCGGCAGGCCUAACACAUGCAAGUCGAGCGGACCCUUCGGGGUUAGCGGCGGACGGGUGAGUAACGCGUGGGAAUAUGCCCUUCUCUACGGAAUAGUCCUGGGAAACUGGGGGUAAUACCGUAUACGCCCUUUGGGGGAAAGAUUUAUCGGGGAAGGAUUAGCCCGCGUUGGAUUAGGUAGUUGGUGGGGUAAUGGCCUACCAAGCCGACGAUCCAUAGCUGGUUUGAGAGGAUGAUCAGCCACACUGGGACUGAGACACGGCCCAGACUCCUACGGGAGGCAGCAGUGGGGAAUCUUAGACAAUGGGGGCAACCCUGACCUAGCCAUGCCGCGUGAGUGAUGAAGGCCUUAGGGUUGUAAAGCUCUUUCAGCUGGGAAGAUAAUGACGGUACCAGCAGAAGAAGCCCCGGCUAACUCCGUG
RNAcentral lists this ribosomal RNA (433 nucleotides) under uncultured bacterium. RNAcentral describes it as "partial 16S ribosomal RNA". It matches the Rfam family "Bacterial small subunit ribosomal RNA", at positions 29 to 507 of the family's 1533-position model. The record is from RNAcentral.